This 497-nucleotide ribosomal RNA is filed under the name uncultured bacterium. RNAcentral describes it as "partial 16S ribosomal RNA". It matches the Rfam family "Bacterial small subunit ribosomal RNA", at positions 28 to 507 of the family's 1533-position model. The record is from RNAcentral.
GAUGAACGCUGGCGGCGUGCCUAAUACAUGCAAGUCGAGCGAACAGAUGAGGAGCUUGCUCCUCUGACGUUAGCGGCGGACGGGUGAGUAACACGUGGAUAACCUACCUAUAAGACUGGGAUCACUUCGGGAAACCGGAGCUAAUACCGGAUAAUAUAUUGAACCGCAUGGUUCAAUAGUGAAAGACGGCUUUGCUGUCACUUAUAGAUGGAUCCGCGCCGCAUUAGCUAGUUGGUAAGGUAACGGCUUACCAAGGCAACGAUGCGUAGCCGACCUGAGAGGGUGAUCGGCCACACGGGAACUGAGACACGGUCCAGACUCCUACGGGAGGCAGCAGUAGGGAAUCUUCCGCAAUGGGCGAAAGCCUGACGGAGCAACGCCGCGUGAGUGAUGAAGGUCUUCGGAUCGUAAAACUCUGUUAUUAGGGAAGAACAGAUGUGUAAGUAACUAUGCACUUCUUGACGGUACCUAAUCAGAAAGCCACGGCUAACUACGUG